GAGCCAAGAUUAUGCCAGUGCACUCCAGCGUGGGCAACAAGAGUGAAACUCCUUCUCAAAAAAAUACAAAAAUGCUGAGGAUGUGUAGUCAAGUGAUGUUCCUGAUCUCGCCCCAGAAACAAAGACAGGUCAGUGUACGUUAACACUGGACUUCAUCAUGAUUUGAAGAGUUCUAUUCUCAGGGCAGGUGGCAGUUCUAUGAGCUCAUUCCCAUAAGCAUUCUUAAAAGUUACACCAUGAAGGUAGCAACCAGAAUAGAAAGAUCCUAAAAGAGCCAGCAGCUUUCAGCAGAGCCUUGGAUGGUGGACCGCAGCUCGGUGUCUCCUGUUCACACUUGAGACCCCCACAGCCAUGAGGAGGAGGAGAACAGGAGCUCAGGAGAUGCACGUGGAUGGGCGUUCUGAAGUAAUGAAGGGGCUGAGGAGGUUCUGCUGCUCUCCAUGACUGCCCACAAGCACUGCAAAUGGCCUAACCCUGUGCGGGUGAGAAAGCCUGGGAGUGAACAAACCUCCAAGUCAGGGAAGUCAGAGCCAGCAGCUGUAAGGCCCUUGCAUACGGCUACAGCACACCUCCAAGUUCUCAAAGAAAAAACUCCAGUUUUCACCUGGUUCUGCACAAAGCUGGGAAUGGAGUGGCCAGCAGGGCAUGUGGCUAGAGGAAAGCCAAGACCACCCACCCCUCCCUAUUCGUGUGCCAGGUGGGCUUGCUAGGGACACAAGUGCCAGUGUCAGGGCAGGGAUGCCACAGAGCCACAGCCAGGCCGAAGGGGCCCAGGGCAUGGUCAGGAAUGAGAAAGAAGGGAGCCUGAGGCUCUCCCACCACCAGGCCUCCAAAGCCACUCACAUUCAGCAGCAGACCCUGAGGUUAGGGCCCAGGUCAGAUGGGCUAAGGGACUCCAAUACCACCCGUCCUGAAUCUCAACCUACAGAUGUUUGCAGCUUCCUCAUGCAAACAUUCAGUGCUGGUACAGAAAAGUCCCCAGUGACCUGUCUGAAAUCUUCAAUCACAUCAUUUCCAAACAAGUGACAAAAAGCACAUUCAGGUACACAGAGCUGCACUGCAGGCAGCCACAUUCCAUCCAAACAGCAGAUUCGAUCCUGCCCCAGAGGGGUGAGAUGACGAGGAAAAGCAUCCGUGGGGCAAAAGAUGGAGAGCACCAACCUCCCAGCUCCACCGGCCACCUUCCCAGUCAAGCUCCAAUGUGCUUGGCUAUCCCAAACUGGGUUUCUCAGCCUCCUUAAAAACAGUUUUACCUAAAUCUCAGCUGCCCUUAGGCCUCUGAGGAUGACAUCAGCCCUUCCGAGUCCUCACCUGCAGGGAAUGGACCAACUGCAGGUUCCUCUUGGAGGGUGGAUGCUUUCCCCAGUAAGCGAAGCUGCCAUGUUUGGAGGCGCACAGACUCUGUGCCUGUCCCUACAGAAUCAGAGCCAAGAACUGGCUAAGGACACAGCAGAGUGGAAAAAACAAGACCUGUAGUCAUGACUGGAGGGAUUGACUGUGCGGCCAAGAAGGCCUCCCCUUCCAGGCUGCAUGGCUCCAGCCCUGCCUGGCAUCACCACAGGUCACCACCAUGGACAAACCCCCACAACACACACACCAGAACCAGAAGCCACGUGAACUGACUCACAGCCCAUGGCUAUUUGAGACAUUGUGAGUGGAAACCAUUUAUGCACCCAAACACUGGAAGCAUAGUUGAGAUUUGAGAUUCCUUUAAUCAGAAGUGCUCGUCUCCCACCAGUGUGCUCUUCAAGCCCCAAAGGGCAUGCCUCUGAGGGACUGGGUCCCUUAGAGCAAGCCUCAGGCUCCUGGUAAAAAUGCAUUUUCUUGAUUUUAUUGAAACAAUGGUGAACCCUGAAGGGUGCCAGUCUACAUGCCUGAGGGUCCCCCAGGCUUCAGGGCCACAAGUCACCAUCCCUCAGGGACCGCAUCAUUUGGCAUGAGAGAAAAAUAGUGACCACCACAGAGGGCAAGGAGUGACAAAGCGUGUAGGCUAAUGCUGCAAAAGCUGCUAGAAUCUGGCCACACGGAGAGCCGGCAGGUGUGCCUCAGGAUCUGCAUGGCUCCUGGGUGGGCCGCCCUACUGCCACCUUCUCCACUGGCUUUUCUCCUGAGUCUUUUUCCCAGGCGGGCCAGAUUACCAUUUAAGGACCUUGCCAAUUUUCUGAUUCUGGGAAGCAAAGUAAGAAUUUGCCAAAUGCACUGAGGCUGGGCAGUAGGAAUUUUUUUUUUUUUUUUAAAGGCCAGUCAGAAGUUGAUCAGGAAAAUGUUUCCCAGGAUAUUCUCAGGUUGGUCUCCAGACAAAGGCACACAGACUGUCACCUUCCCAAGGUCCCUCACCAGUAGGACGUGUCCAGGGUACCCAGCACAAGGACUAGUAGCAGAAAGGGAAGACUCACCAGGGACACCCACUCGGGCACGGAGCUGGCUGUGGGCUAGGGCAACAGCCAGCUUUGGGCACCGUGCUCCCUCUUCUUCAGGAGAUGCCAACCUCAGCCAAGAUUUUCAAUGGGGUCCCCACACGGAGGUGUUAACAACACAGGGCACACAGCAGUGGAGGCAUCAGUGCAUGGGGUCUCCAAGCUGAAGUGUACCCAGGGGGUCCUGCUUUCCAAAAUGUGUCCCCAGACGUAGGUGUGGCUUUUCAAGAAAGCUGUCCCCUCAACUGCAAAGGGCUUUCCUCAUCAUCUCGUAUGAGCAUUCCUGGCACCUGAGUGAACCACUCACAGGAGAGAAAUGCAAGGACUGCUUCAGAAAUGCGAGCCUGGAGCCUUGUGUUCUGGAGAAAAUGGCUGGCAGCUUGGUUUUGACAAUGCUUGCGUGCAUGGAGGAAAGCAAGGACAAAACGCCCUGUCUGGAACAGGCUGACGAGGACAGUCAAGUGGCUGGAACAAUGGCCUCAGCUCCAAAGCUGGAGAAGAGGGGCCGGGGCAGGUGUGUCGGCCGGGCUGUGCACUCACAUUGACAUUCUCCAGUGACUCAGGUCACUACAACCACUCCACAGGUGAGGAAGCUGAGAUCAGAGGUGAAAUGCUUCUGUCCAAACUUGACCGAGCCGAGAGAGAGAGAUGGGAUUCAAUCCAGAGUCCGCCCCCAACCCUGAGAUCCCACCAACUUCCCAAGCUUGCUCUCCACACGCUGUGCCCAUCACACCUGCACGGCCUGGGUGUUCUCUUCCUGACCCCCUCCCCAGAGGCCACUUCUGCCUGGCUCCCCCCAGCAGGAGUGGGGUGGAGCACAUGUGUCUGACACACGACCCAUUCUAUCAUUCUAUCCGCUCCCAGGAAAAGCGCGCCAGAGGAGAGUCCUGUUUCCCGAGAAAAACGCCAGCCAGCCCAGGGUGCAGCAACCCCACUGCUUCAAUUCUCACACGGUCCCGCAGCUGGCCCCUAGAUCCACUGUAUUCCAGCUCAUUCUCUUUUUUGGUCAGAGUCCAGAGCCCCAAAGCUACCCAGGAUGUGGCAGCAAGGAUGUGGCUGGUCAGGAGGUAAGGGACUGAAUGUUCUUGAGCAUUUCGUCAAAGGCCUGUGGGGAUGGCGCAUCUGCAUUCCGGAAGGUGGCCUGGACCCGGCUGUACAGGCUGAAGGAUUUCAGCUCCAGCCAGACGAACCCGAAGCGGUCCUCGUCGAAGAGGAUGAAGACCCCAGGGGUGCGUUCAGGGCUGGUGAAGCCAUGGCCCGCGAUGAGGCCUGUGCCAUAAAAACUGAACAGAGACAAGAGGAUAAGUGUGAGUUGGGAGGAGGGCUGAGUCAAGUUCACCUCAAGUCUGGCAUUCUGAGAUGCUCCUCCGUUCCACAAGAGCCACAUCCACUAUUCAUCAGCCACAAGCUGACUCCCAAAGCCAGCCUGUCUCUACAGGGGCAGCUGGGGGUGCGGGCUGAAACUCUGCAAGGGUAGCUGGGGGUGUGUGCUGAGCCUGCCUCUGCAGGGGUAGCUAAGGGCACAGGUCAAGCCCACCUAAUGAUGGCUGCAGAGGCCAGACCUCCAGGCUGCUUGGGGUGUGGGCACUGACGCACAGCACCUGUGAGAGGGAUUCACUCACUCACUGCACACGGUGCUGCCUCACCAAACUAAAACAAGAGGUCUCUGCAGGCCCAAAGAGCUCUAUUCCAAAACACACAUUUCAUACCAGGCCCAACAUGAAAAAAUCUUCAUUUCAGGGAGUUAUGUCCCCAUACAAACAAUGAGAUAUAAUGUAGAUGGCCUGCAGCUGACAUUCACUCAGGGGGAAGAACUCGCAGACACCCAUUUAUGGCUCUGAAGUCAACAUCAAACGGGAAAACACUUAUGGCUGUCUUGCAAGCAGCUAAAUUCUUCCAACAAAUGGCGAGAAUCAUCCAGCCACAAAGGCUCCAAAGGUCUGGUGGGUGAGUACCCCCUUGGACCAGGGCCUGGGCCUCAGAGGUCGUCUCAGGUGGAGGGAGAAGCUCCAGGGCCGAGAGGCAGGUACAGUCAUCAGCACUGUGCUCGCAAAAAGCAAGAGGCAUUCCCUGUACAGAUGCUGUGGCCAGGCCCUUCAGACCCAUAAACCAAACAGGGAAGGACCGGGAGCUCCCAUAUUCAGCAUGGGGUGGACUGUCAUGCAGGUUAGCUGGGAAGAGGGGCUGGAGGGCUCUCCGGCCAGUGGCCGUAGCACAUGCUGUGACCUGCAAACUGGCUCUGAGCCGGUUGUGAGGUUUUAGGAGUUUUGACAUUUUUGAAGGGUAGCAGAGCUUUUUCCUUUUAUAGCUAUUCAAACAUUUACACCAGCUAAAACAACACUAUGACACUAUUUGUAUGCCUCUCUCUGUAAGCUCCUCAGUCACUGUUAUACAUGUGAACAUGAAGAAAGCCCCACCCAGACAUCCAAACCCCAUCUGGGCCAGUGGCACCUCCCUCCAUGAUGGGAAGUUUAGUGGGAAAUGCAGACACAUGGUGACAUGGCUUGCAGGUAAAAGGAAAAUAACUUGUAAUGUGAAAAUGGCAGAAAGACUUUGAUGCCAGGAGACUGACAGGCGGACCCUCAAAAUGACCCCCAAGGCCACUGUCUGGCAGAACCCUCUGUGUUGAUGGAAUGUUCUAGAAGUGCACUGUCCACCAGCCAUAUGUGGCCAGGAAGUACUUGAAACAUGGCCUGGGUGGCUGAGGGCCUGGAUUUUUCA
Molecule: long non-coding RNA, 5138 nt
Organism: Sapajus apella (tufted capuchin)
Lineage: Eukaryota; Metazoa; Chordata; Mammalia; Primates; Cebidae
Exons: 2
Source: RefSeq, a predicted model, not a curated record